AGCAUAAAAUAAUCGACAACAAUGAAGAAAACAUCUCUUGUGAUCUUAAUUGUGGCAAUUAUUUUGUUAAGUUUCAUUGUCACUGCCGAAAGAUAUGAUCGUCAUCAUUUUGUCAAAUGUGUAUCGAACACUUUAAUAUUAACUGUGCUAGGAUUUUUGGGACGCUUUAUAUGUCGCAAUUUAAUGCCACUCUUAUAUGGAAUUUCAUAUAUUUUCGUAGGAUUACUCUGCCUUACAGUAUUCAUUUCGGUUUUUAGGGAAACGUUCAACUAGAAUUGCUUAGUUCCAGACGCGAAAUGAAUUCAAUAUGUGAUUCAACAUGGGUGAUUCACGGUGAAGACCGGCAAUAUUUAAUUAAUAUCGUAUCGAUGAACCAUCAAUUGAAGUAGAUUAUCAAUCUUUGUUGUUUCGUUAUCAUUGAUAACUUAUCAAUAUAUUCAGUUAUAUUAUACCAAUAAAAUUAAUUUUUUGAUAAAACUGA
Long non-coding RNA from Contarinia nasturtii (swede midge), 481 nucleotides. RefSeq lists it as uncharacterized. NCBI's taxonomy places the organism in Eukaryota, Metazoa, Arthropoda, Insecta, Diptera, Cecidomyiidae. The transcript is spliced from 2 exons. The record is from RefSeq and is a predicted model, not a curated record.